RNAcentral lists this non-coding RNA (84 nucleotides) under unclassified sequences. Its description in RNAcentral is "c-di-GMP-II sequence". It matches the Rfam family "Cyclic di-GMP-II riboswitch aptamer". The record is from RNAcentral.
UUAAAUAUUGGAUACAUGGAAAAAUUCUCUUUAUAUGGGCACCUUGAGAAUUUGGAGUUAGUGGUGCAACCUGCCAAUAAUUAG